RNAcentral lists this ribosomal RNA (231 nucleotides) under Streptococcus agalactiae FSL S3-251. Its description in RNAcentral is "partial 16S ribosomal RNA". It matches the Rfam family "Bacterial small subunit ribosomal RNA", at positions 1 to 222 of the family's 1533-position model. The record is from RNAcentral. Lineage: Bacteria; Bacillati; Bacillota; Bacilli; Lactobacillales; Streptococcaceae.
UUUAAUGAGAGUUUGAUCCUGGCUCAGGACGAACGCUGGCGGCGUGCCUAAUACAUGCAAGUAGAACGCUGAGGUUUGGUGUUUACACUAGACUGAUGAGUUGCGAACGGGUGAGUAACGCGUAGGUAACCUGCCUCAUAGCGGGGGAUAACUAUUGGAAACGAUAGCUAAUACCGCAUAAGAGUAAUUAACACAUGUUAGUUAUUUAAAAGGAGCAAUUGCUUCACUGUG